This is a long non-coding RNA of Camelus dromedarius (Arabian camel), 2070 nucleotides long. RefSeq lists it as uncharacterized. The record is from RefSeq and is a predicted model, not a curated record. The transcript is spliced from 4 exons. Lineage: Eukaryota; Metazoa; Chordata; Mammalia; Artiodactyla; Camelidae.
UGCCUGUGUGAGAGAGAGAGGACCAACUGGGAGCUGUGGGGAGGAGGCAGCAUCCCCGACCGAGGGACCCUGGACUUGUCCAGUCACUGGAUUGAGCCCAGGGCACUGAUCCCGGGAUCCCCAAAUCUCCUGCACCCUGAUCACCUGAACUGACACGGGGCUGGACAAGGAAGCAGAGAGGCCCAGAAAAGCAGAAGUGAGGACCGGAGUGAGUCCUCUGAGGAGGGUCCACCCUGUCCCUGCCCAGGGUCUGGCGCUGCUGCAGGUGACAUCUGUGCUGGAGGAAUGACCCCGAGGGACGGGGCCCUGUGGCUGCCUUCAGCUGUGCUGCUUCUCCACGUCCCAGGAGGAUGGUGGAGACCAGAGAGCCAGAGAGAGAAGUGAGGAGUGGCCGUGUGUCCAUCAGGGGCCAUCCUGGAAACCUCACCUUCACAGUGACCAUGGAGAGCCUUGGAAUGGAGGAUGCAGGAAUUUACCUGUGUGGGAUUCACACAGCACUUUCAUUGAACUCCGCCUCCCAGGUUGCCCGGGUUGUGGUGUCUGUGUUCCCAGCCAUCAGCCGCGCCCGAGGGCCCUGGCGGCUCCGUCGCUCUGCAUCACUCCCUGUGCAGUGAACAUCACCCUGUCUGUCCCCUGCCAGGGUGGGUGAAGAGGACAAAGGUGUGGCCGUGGCUGGGGGUGACCUGGAGCCAGGUACUCCUUCCAUAGACUCUGAAAUCUCCUGGUGAGCAAGGACCACGCUGUAUCUGAAAGUGCUCACCUGGCCAGGAUGCACCUGGAGAGCGACCGGGGAGGGGGACCCAGGGUGCCGGUCAUGACCCUGGGUGCAGUCGUGGGGGAUGCUGGACACAACACAUCUGUCCAGACAACCUGAGUGACCUUGACUAUGUGAGCAGAGCCACACCAGUGAUGGAGAGUGGGGACCCAGGGAGAGGGCACCUGGCCUGACCUGUGCUUCUCCCUUAGCCCGUGUUACAGCCCCCAGCCCCGAGAGGUCCACAAGUACCCCAGCUUCUCUCACAACCCAGCCAGCACCCACCAGGAGCACCGCGUCUCAGCAGGAGAUCCCUGAUUCCGGUCAACAUUCUCGGUAAAGGGCCCGCAUCCCAGGACUUUGGUGCCAGGGCUGAACUUUUGGAGGCAUUGGGCAGGUCCCUGCUGGGCAGCAUCCACUUCCUUCUCCUGGUCUUCCUGAAGGUGCCUCUGCUCCUGGGCAUUCUCAGUCUGUCCUCUGGGUCAGCAGGCCUCAGAGGAGCUCUGCAGACAAGGAGAGUCAGCCCAAUUAUAAGAACCAGUAGCCCCUGUGUUUUCUGAUGUCCUGUUCAGGGAGGCAGUCUGCCUGGUGGAUGGGAAUGAUCUUCUGACCCAUCAGUCCUGCAUUGCUCUCCACCUUUCUCUCAGAAUACUGUGUUUGUGACCUUCUUGGUAGCUUUUUUUCUAGUGCAUGAUUCUCAUAAACCAAGAGGGUAGCUGACCAACAGGUGCUUCUGAACUACAACCAGAGAUCAACAUUGCGAACACGCCUUCCAGCUAAUCCACGGAGCAUCACUAAUGUGCUGAACUCUCGGGGGCUCUCCCUGACAUCUUCAGUCCCCCAAGGGAUGCAGUAGACUUGGUUUUGGUUCCAUUUUCCUGGUUUCCAGGCAGUUCUGUGGCUUCCCCCUGACCUGUGCUACCACGGUAACCCCUACUCACAAGUUUGGGAUUCCCCCAUGGGGAAUCUUCCAAUUGCUGAGUCCAUGUAUUUUAUUAUGCACCCUGAAGGUCAGGAAAUAACACAGAGGAUCACGGUCCAUGCGGCCCACCUGAGUCACAAAUCCAUCGUUCCUUGACCUCCAUAAACCUAUGCUCUGUCUCAUAGACCAACAGACCAUGUUGGGCUCCUCUGAUUGGUGUCAGUUCACAACAGAAUUCUGCAUUCCCUGAACAAUCUCAUUACUCCCUUCCUCAUGCUGAGCCAACCAGAUUCGUGUAUUCAGGUACUUUGCAGAUGGCUCUAGAAGAAUAAUACUAUUAAAAUGUUGCAACUUAACAGAGUCCUUUCUUCCUCCUCUUCACGGGUCACUGACC